RNAcentral lists this microRNA (22 nucleotides) under Echinops telfairi (small Madagascar hedgehog). RNAcentral describes it as "Ete-Mir-30-P1a_3p* (star (passenger))". Lineage: Eukaryota; Metazoa; Chordata; Mammalia; Afrosoricida; Tenrecidae. The record is from RNAcentral.
CUUUCAGUCUGAUGUUUGCUCC